UACAGAGGUCUCAAGCGUUGUUCGGAUUCAUUGGGCGUAAAGGGUGCGUAGGCGGCGGGGUAAGUCGGAUGUGAAAUCCCGGGGCUCAACCCCGGAACUGCAUUCGAUCCUGCCUUGCUAGAGUACUGGAGAGGAGACUGGAAUUUACGGUGUAGCAGUGAAAUGCGUAGAUAUCGUAAGGAAGACCAGUGGCGAAGGCGAGUCUCUGGACAGUUACUGACGCUGAGGCACGAAGGCCAGGGGAGCAAACGGG
RNAcentral lists this ribosomal RNA (253 nucleotides) under uncultured bacterium. RNAcentral's name for it is "partial 16S ribosomal RNA". It matches the Rfam family "Bacterial small subunit ribosomal RNA", at positions 524 to 776 of the family's 1533-position model. The record is from RNAcentral.